GCACGUGAUGGACACGUGGAGGUGUGCCCGCCCCCCGGAUUGCGUGAUUGUCAAGUGCGCGCGAAGUGUGCUGAGCGUUUUUUUUUGCUUUUCUUUCACCCACAGCGCAGCGCGCCGGCUAAGACUGCAGGACCACCGUCCAGCUGUGGCUCCCACGUCUGUCCUCUGUGCGCUGCUGCACACAUACGUACCUGGAGAGAGACGGCGCCAUCCGAUUGCCGCCGCGCAUCUCGCCUCUCAUCCUUCCCCCCUCCCCGUGGUGGACCACAUAUACAUAGAAUCAUGACAACCCUACCGGUGCUUCACUUGAAAGCAACCAGCCUGCAGAAUGUGACUAUCGCCGCGGACCUGAGUGACACCACAGCGACCCUCUACACGUUCCUCCGCUCGACCCCCAGCGCCGCCGAAACUGAACUGGCCCUCCAGCCCUUUCUCGAAUCCCUCCACGCGGCUCCGUCGUCCGGCAGGGCUGCUCUCAUGCGGCGACCAAAUCAUCGCCUUGUACAGCUUCUGGAGUCGGUGGCCGUUGAUGGCGUCUUUCGUUGCACACCGCAUGUCCUUCCUGCGCUGGCGCGUCACUCAGAUCGGUGGCUGCACCGGUUGGGGUACCCCUCGAUGGACGGUGAGGCGGCUGAUUCUACGGCAGCGGUGGACUCUGCGGCACAUGCAGCGAGUGGGUCGCGGCGAUCGGCGUCACCUCCGACGGCUGCACCGUUCCCAUUCAUGCGCGUGCGCGCGACGGACAUGCACCAGUACGUCGAUCCGUACUCAGCCUAUGAGGCUGAUUACGUUGGGAGGCAGGAAGCGGCUGACUCGGCUCAUGUUGAUGCCUUUGCCAGCGGCGAAGCGCAUUUGCCUAAGAACGGGUCUGCAGCAGAGUCGAGUGGCCUGCAGCACAGGGACACUGCGCAGCCUCAUGAAGAGGCAUCGUCUGUGUCGGCUGAGGUGUCUGCGCUCACUGUUCCUGGAGACGAGCCGCAGCUGAGCGAGCUAGCGCCGUCUGCGUCGCACGCAGCGACUCCAGCGCCAAAAGCGGCCCUCACCUCCGCCCCGGCGAUUCACCCGGUGCUCCACCUCAUCGCAAACCAAGUUGUGCAGCAGCAGGAGGAAGGGGAGAAGACGGGCCGCGGGAGCGCGGAGGAGCGUGCGCACCCGUCCUCGUCACACGCAGUUCUUGACGAAAAGCUGCAACGUCUCAUGGCGCAGCUAAACGAGGCAGAAACACAGCUUACCGACGCCAUGGCAGAGAAGGAGGCGGCAGAGCAGGUGUGGUUGCCGUACUACAGCCGCCUCAAGACGAGCAGGAUGUACGUCAACGAGCUCAAGAGUCGUUUACAGAGCGCCGCCUCCCUCUAUCUGCUUCAGCGAUACGAGCGCGAGACGCUUCAGCAGGCUCACGUCGGCGUCGCGAUGGAGUCCAUGAGCCUGCAGCUGGUGCUGCGCGAUGUGCGCGCACGACUGGAAGAUGAGCAGCGCAGUUCGCUCACAGACGACCACCAGCAGGCGACGGAGAGCGAUAUGCUGGCUCAGCAGUUGAGCGCUGUUCUGGCAGUGCCUGCGGCUGCGAGCCAGCGCAACGCGGCAUGCCAUCGUUGAAACUAAGCAGCUCAUCUCGCAUACACAUAGACGAUCACAAUGGCGGAGUUUGAUCAUGUCCGCCAGUCCCGAUUCACGUCAGCGGCCUCACCAGCACAGCGGCAGCAACAUAUGCACACUAAGAGUUUUAACAUACCUCUCUGUCAGGGCAUAGUCGUCGCUGCGACUGACGGAGAUGGCUGACAACCCCCCUCCCGCUCAACGCAUCAGACUUCUCGGGCGUUUUGUGCAUCCACUCUAGUGAUUUACAGCGGCUACUGGUCGGGACCACAUGCCCUCUUUGGACUUUGCUGCACAUCUUCUCCCCAGUUCAACGUCCUGCGUUCGCAG
This 1926-nucleotide unclassified non-coding RNA is filed under the name Leishmania donovani. Its description in RNAcentral is "gene:LdHU3.32.4790(CDS-product:hypothetical_prote in_conserved)". Lineage: Eukaryota; Euglenozoa; Kinetoplastea; Trypanosomatida; Trypanosomatidae. The record is from RNAcentral.